Molecule: unclassified non-coding RNA, 175 nt
Filed under: fungal sp.
Lineage: Eukaryota; Fungi
Description: partial internal transcribed spacer region
Rfam family: Eukaryotic small subunit ribosomal RNA (bases 1-46)
Source: RNAcentral
AAGUCGUAACAAGGUUUCCGUAGGUGAACCUGCGGAAGGAUCAUUAUUGAGUCCAUUCAUAUUCGUGAACUAAAUUUGCUUAGGUGGCUGCAAGGCUGCCGAAUUCUAACUCUAUUGAUUUGUCUGACUGAAAAUUAUAAUUUUAAAACUUUCAACAACGGAUCUCUUGGUUCUC